Molecule: ribosomal RNA, 429 nt
Filed under: uncultured archaeon
Lineage: Archaea
Description: bacterial SSU rRNA
Rfam family: Archaeal small subunit ribosomal RNA
Source: RNAcentral
UACCUGCAGCUCGAGUGGUAACCGCUAUUAUUGGGCCUAAAGCGUCCGUAGCCGGUUUGGUAAAUAUCUGGGUAAAUCGUGAGGCUUAACUUCACGAAUUUCGGAUAGACUGCCAGACUUGGGAUCGGGGGAGGACAGAGGUACUCCAGGGGUAGCGGUGAAAUGUUGUAAUCCUUGGAGGACCACCGGUAGCGAAGGCGUCUGACUAGAACGAGUCCGACGGUGAGGGACGAAGCCCUGGGGCGCAAACCGGAUUAGAUACCCGGGUAGUCCAGGGUGUAAACGAUGUGGGCUUUGUAUUGGAGGUCCCACGUGGGCGUCCAGUGCAGAAGAGAAGUUGUUAAGCCCACCGCCUGGGAAGUACGGUCGCAAGGCUGAAACUUAAAGGAAUUGGCGGGGGAGCACAGCAACGGGAGGAGCGUGCGGUUU